RNAcentral lists this transfer RNA (91 nucleotides) under Muribaculaceae bacterium Isolate-104 (HZI). RNAcentral's name for it is "tRNA-Ser". It matches the Rfam family "tRNA". Rfam says of the family: Transfer RNA (tRNA) molecules are approximately 80 nucleotides in length. Lineage: Bacteria; Pseudomonadati; Bacteroidota; Bacteroidia; Bacteroidales; Muribaculaceae. The record is from RNAcentral.
GGAGUGGUGCUCGAGUGGUUGAAGAGGCACGCCUGGAAAGCGUGUAUACGCCAAAAGCGUAUCGGGGGUUCGAAUCCCCCUCACUCCGCAA